GACGAACGCUGGCGGCGUGCUUAACACAUGCAAGUCGAACGGAAAGACCCUGCUUUUGCGGGGUUCUCGAGUGGCGAGCGGGUGAGUAACACAUGAGUAACCUGCCCUUGACGGUGGGAUAACUUCAGGAAACUGCGGCUAAUACCGGAGAGGAGCUCCUGCAGCAUGGGGGGGGUUGGAAAGUUUCGUCUGUUGUGGAUCGACUCGGGGCUUAUCAGCUUGUUGGUGGGGUAGUGGCUUACCAAGGCUUUGACGGCUAGCCUGCCUGGGAGCGUGAACGGGCACCAUACGCCUGCGAUAGGGACCAGUCGCGAACAUGAGGCAAUGGUCGAGAAUAUGGCACAAUGGGCCGGAGUGUGAUAAAGAAACGCUCCGUGCGUAAUGCCGGGUUUCUGGUUGUAAACCGCUUUCGGUUGUGACGAAGCGUUAGUGACGGUAAUGAGUAAAGAAGCACCGGCUAACUACGUG
RNAcentral lists this ribosomal RNA (468 nucleotides) under uncultured bacterium. RNAcentral describes it as "partial 16S ribosomal RNA". It matches the Rfam family "Bacterial small subunit ribosomal RNA", at positions 28 to 507 of the family's 1533-position model. The record is from RNAcentral.